RNAcentral lists this ribosomal RNA (400 nucleotides) under uncultured bacterium. RNAcentral describes it as "bacterial SSU rRNA". It matches the Rfam family "Bacterial small subunit ribosomal RNA", at positions 356 to 773 of the family's 1533-position model. The record is from RNAcentral.
GGGGAAUAUUGGACAAUGGGCGAAAGCCUGAUCCAGCCAUGCCGCGUGAGUGAUGAAGGCCUUAGGGUUGUAAAGCUCUUUCAGUGGGGAUGAUAAUGACAGUACCCACAGAAGAAGCCCCGGCUAACUUCGUGCCAGCAGCCGCGGUAAUACGAAGGGGGCUAGCGUUGUUCGGAUUUACUGGGCGUAAAGCGCACGUAGGCGGAUUGUUAAGUUAGAGGUGAAAUCCUGGGGCUCAACUCCAGAACUGCCUUUAAUACUGGCAAUCUAGAGUCCGGAAGAGGUGAGUGGAACUCCUAGUGUAGAGGUGGAAUUCGUAGAUAUUAGGAAGAACACCAGUGGCGAAGGCGGCUCACUGGUCCGGUACUGACGCUGAGGUGCGAAAGCGUGGGGAGCAAAC